RNAcentral lists this ribosomal RNA (250 nucleotides) under uncultured bacterium. Its description in RNAcentral is "partial 16S ribosomal RNA". It matches the Rfam family "Bacterial small subunit ribosomal RNA", at positions 779 to 1027 of the family's 1533-position model. The record is from RNAcentral.
UAGAUACCCUGGUAGUCCACGCCGUAAACGAUGGAUACUAGCUGUUUGGGGUAUCGACCCCCUGAGUAGCGAAGCUAACGCGUUAAGUAUCCCGCCUGUGGAGUACGAUCGCAAGAUUAAAACAUAAAGGAAUUGACGGGGACCCGCACAAGCGGUGGAUCAUGUUCUUUAAUUCGAUGAUAACCGAUAAACCUUACCAGGUCUUGACAUCCUUGGAAUCUUUCAGAAAUGAGAGAGUGCUUUUAAGAGC